AAUUUCAAAAGGCUCCACCUCCAAAAACCAUCACACUGGCGGUGAGGAUUUCAACAUAUGCAUUGGGAGGGGAGGGAUGCACACAUUUAGUCCAUUGGCCCUUCUCACAAAAACUACAAUUUGCUUGAAUUAAUGCCAUACUCAAGGCCUAUGUCGCAAGGGAUCUGAGAAUACAGAGGAGGCAAGUCAACAAAAGAAGAGUCAGGGGAAGUAUCACAGAUGAAGAGGCAUCUGAGCUCAGUGUUAUGGAAUGAAGGAAAUCAACACUCAGAGAAAAGGGGAAAGCAUGAAUGCAGUCCCCCACUACCACAAAUCAUGCAGUCGAGUUUCGCACUUUUGGGGAAAUCACAGGGGUCAGCACACCCAGAGUGCAAUGGAUAAACCUCGCCCUGGGAAAACCACCUUCGUGAUCAUGUUAUCUCCCCUGCCAGCUUAUUCAGAUGAUGUGAAUACCGGCUAAUUAUUGCAACGAUGUUUGCUUCCAAGCAUUAAAAAAAUUGCCAGUGUUAUGGGCAAGGACUUCAUGACUACAACACCAAAAGCAAUGGCA
This 550-nucleotide long non-coding RNA is filed under the name Homo sapiens (human). RNAcentral's name for it is "HSALNT0368720". Lineage: Eukaryota; Metazoa; Chordata; Mammalia; Primates; Hominidae. The record is from RNAcentral.